RNAcentral lists this ribosomal RNA (477 nucleotides) under uncultured bacterium. RNAcentral's name for it is "partial 16S ribosomal RNA". It matches the Rfam family "Bacterial small subunit ribosomal RNA", at positions 28 to 523 of the family's 1533-position model. The record is from RNAcentral.
GACGAACGCUGGCGGCGUGCUUAACACAUGCAAGUCGAACGGUAAGGCCCUUCGGGGUACACGAGUGGCGAACGGGUGAGUAACACGUGGGUGAUCUGCCCUGCACUUCGGGAUAAGCCUGGGAAACUGGGUCUAAUACCGGAUAGGACCACUGCCUGCAUGGGUGGUGGUGGAAAGCUUUUGCGGUGUGGGAUGGGCCCGCGGCCUAUCAGCUUGUUGGUGGGGUGAUGGCCUACCAAGGCGACGACGGGUAGCCGGCCUGUGAGGGUGACCGGGCACACUGGGACUGAGAUACGCCCAGACUCCGACGGGAGGCAGCAGUGGGGAAUAUUGCACAAUGGGCGCAAGCCUGAUGCGGCGACGCCGCGUGAGGGAUGACGGCCUUCGGGUUGUAAACCUCUUUCAGCUAUGACGAAGCGCAAGUGACGGUAGUAGCAGAAGAAGGACCGGCCAACUACGUGCCAGCAGCCGCGGUAA